Molecule: long non-coding RNA, 1149 nt
Filed under: Anas platyrhynchos platyrhynchos (common mallard)
Lineage: Eukaryota; Metazoa; Chordata; Aves; Anseriformes; Anatidae
Description: lncRNA (ENSAPLG00000028842.1)
Source: RNAcentral
UAGAAAUCAUGUGUCCUGAGAAAACAUCUGUACCACAGAAACUGCAGGUUUUGCUCUGUCCCAAAACAGAACAGUUCUUUGACAUAAGAAAGUAUCACCCUACUACAACAUUUAGUAAGAAAAGCUCAAAUGUAGUUUGAUAUGUCAGUGCAACACAGUUACUUCACUGGCGUUUGUCAGCACACAUGAGAGCAGAUUUCAAAACCUGAAGUCUCCUGGACAGGCUGAUUUGGUUUUGUUGUGAUAAUUCCAAGAAGCUCUCUAGAAAUAAGCACUUCACACUGAAGAAACACAUUCUUAAAGAGAUUGCAGCCUAAAUUGGAAAGGCAGAUGAAGGAUGGGAAGGGAAACAGGCAGGAAGAGAUGACAUAACCACUCUUACCACUUUUCAAGAAUUCAUCAACCGUCAAUCAAAAUUCAACCAGUAGGCGUAAGCUUGACAAAAAUGUCUGACCCACAUAUCAACAGGACUUUUGGUGACCUGAGAGCAGAAAUCAGGAGGAGUUCAGCUGAAGCACUGACAGCAUCUCUGAGCUGGAAUAAUAUGCAUUGUGGUGGGGCCCCGACCUCUGCUUGGACUUCCAGCUCGGUGAUUCACCACGGCUCUGCCACCUGCUUUCUCUGGAACUGUGAGCCGAAACCCCAGCUGAAAACAGCUCAUGUGGAGACGCAGAGAGCUGCUGUCCCCACAGCCCACUUCUGCUCAGGCUCCCAGCCCUGAAUGACAGCUGUGGGGUUAUAUUUAUCACAGGAGUUGAACUAAUGCAAAGCCUGAAUGAGGCCAAAAGUCAGUCCUGUCCAUCAGAGAGCUUCCAGAAGAGACAUGACCACUUUGAUCCUUAAAAAAAGCCUGUGACAGACAGACUCAUGGUUGGUAGUCAUUCUUCAGCACAAAGUAGCUUAACCUUUCUAUAGAAGUUCAUUAUAUCAAGCAAACAAACAAACAAAAAUACACCAAAGUGUACACAUGAUCUCUAUUCCUCAGUUUCGAUAUCCUUGGAUAUGUUGGCCUCUGAGCACCUUGAAAAGGAAGAAACUUUGGACCUGAUUUACUAUUAUAUUCCAAUCCCAUAUAGAGCAUGGAAGAACGAACAUAUCUUUGGUUGAAGAGUUGCUGUGGUAUUGACAGUGACUGGAGGAUUUGCAAAG